CCUACGGGUGGCUGCAGUGGGGGAUAUUGCACAAUGGGGGAAACCCUGAUGCAGCGACGCCGCGUGUGGGAAGACGGUCCUCUGGAUUGUAAACCACUGUCCCCAGGGACGAAGAUGACGGUACCUGGGGAGGAAGCUCCGGCUAACUACGUGCCAGCAGCCGCGGUAAUACGUAGGGAGCGAGCGUUGUCCGGAAUUACUGGGGGUAAAGGGAGCGUAGGGGGUGAUGCAAGUUGGGUGUAAAAACUACCGGCUCAACUGGUAGUCGCACUCAAAACUGCAGCUCUUGAGUGAAGUAGAGGCUGGCGGAAUUCCUAGUGUAGCGGUGAAAUGCGUAGAUAUUAGGAGGAACACCAGUGGCGAAGGCGGCCUGCUGGGCUUUUACUGACGCUGAGGCUCGAAAGUGUGGGGAGCAAACAGGAUUAGAUACCCUUGUAGUC
Molecule: ribosomal RNA, 440 nt
Filed under: uncultured bacterium
Lineage: Bacteria
Description: partial 16S ribosomal RNA
Rfam family: Bacterial small subunit ribosomal RNA
Source: RNAcentral